Molecule: long non-coding RNA, 1711 nt
Organism: Arachis duranensis
Lineage: Eukaryota; Viridiplantae; Streptophyta; Magnoliopsida; Fabales; Fabaceae
Exons: 4
Source: RefSeq, a predicted model, not a curated record
CUCACCCACACCAUUCUCAUUUCUCCAAUCAGAUAUCGUUGUUGUCUCCGAGCGCCAUUGUCGUAUUCUUUGCCGCCGUCUUCUGUGCUCGUCUUGCCGCCAUCUCUUGAGGUCUCGUCAGCGUCGUCUUCUCCGGUCUCGGCGCCGUCUCUCGAAGUCUCGUCACCAUCUUCUUCUGAAAUCUCGGUGUCGUCCCUUACGUCGUUGAGAUCUUGGCGUCGUCUUUUGUCUUCAGAUAUCUUGGCGCCAUCUUCUUCGUCUUCAAGCAGAUUCUUAACUGGAAACCUUCUCAAUGGAUUAGUGCCUUCAUGGACGAGUGAUGCUACCAGCUUGAUGAAUUUAAGAAUGCUAUAAAAUAGGCUAUGCAAAAAGCAUCUGAAGUAGGAAGUAAUGUAUCAAAUGAGAUGGAUGUGUGGUGUGAAAUAGCCAGAGUUAAAAAGGGAAGAAUUUAUGGACUUGGAAUAGAAUCCACUGCAAUUGACAAAGGACCUAGUUAUCGUGGCUCCAUUUCUCAGUCAUCAGAUUGGUUGCGAAGGUCAAAACAUGAAGAAAUAAUGAAGAAAAUGCAAGAAGAGAACGAUGAUUUGAAAACUAGGUUGGAAAAGACAGAAAGAGGACUUGAACUCAAUAACCGUAUGCUUUAAGAAAUGAUGAAAAAGCUUAAUUUUAAAAUUCCGAUUCCUCAACUAGAAGGUGGAGAAACAAAUAUAGGAGAGCAUGAAGAUGGUGAAUGUACGUCUAAAGAGUGAUUAGUAGUUUGACACAGUUCACCAGGUGAGGAAUCUUGAAAGAGUAUAUUUUAAAAUAUGAAAUCUACAUUGCUCUAGUCAACAUCCCCAACAUUUCAAGGUCACCGAAAAUCAUCUUCAAUAUCCUUAUGAAAGAUAGAUAGAUAUAGGUGUUAGACGAGAAUGUAUAUAAGAAAAUCGAGAAAAAGUAGAUCGAUAUUUUACUUGCUAUGUUGAUGAAUCUGAGUGUAAUUCUGUUAAUUGAUGUAAUUAGUAAUAUGAAGAGUGUUGUUUAUUUUGUGUUAUGUUAUUUUGGUUAUUGUUUAAGUGUUGUUUAUUUUGUGUUAUUAUUAUUGUUGUCUAUGUUAUUUUGGUUAUUGUUUACUUUUAUGUUGUUUACUUUUCAAUAUUUGAUGGCCUAAAUGUAAAAAUUUAGUAAAUAUUAUAAUUAAAAAAAUUAGGAUCAGCCAUGAAAAUUUGGUUACUAAAAUGCUUGGUUGCUAACUAGCGACCGAUUUAGCGACUGAAAUGUUGGUUGCUAAAAUACAAGUCCACACUUAGCGACCGAUUUAGCGACAAAAAUAACGGUCGCAGAUUAGAGACCGAAACACUGGUCACAAAUUAGCGACCGAUUUAGCGACUGAAAAGUCACUAUUUAGCGACCAAUUUACUCAGAGACCGCUUUAGUAACGAAAAUUUUGGUCACAAAUUAGCGACCGAUUUUGUUAGCGACCGAUACUCUUUGGUGAGGGUUUGAUGGCCUCGUUAACAAAUCGGUCGCUAACAUUUAGCGAAUGAAGUUGGUCGCUAUUUUCUUAUUAGCGACCAUAGUUUUAGCGACCACCCAAAUCAGUCAAAAAAUCGGUCGCUAAAUCAGUCGCUAUUCAGGUAAUUUCUUGUAGUGAUGUACCACUUACUUUAAAUAUAUCAUAUUGAUAAGUUUAUUUUUUUGUAUUGUAUUUUAUUUGAACUAAUAUGAGAUU